GUAGGAAUUCCCUCCCCCCAUGGCAGGACAGGCGCUAUCAGAACCAGGAGGUGUGCUGGAGGAGGAUUGCUUUGCUCCUGGCUGAUGGACUAAAGUAAACAUAGAGAAAAAGGUGCACACAGUCAUCAUUGUCAUCAGCAACUGGAGAUGGACUAGAAGAAUGUAACGGAGCACACAUCUGGCAGCGUGACAUUAUUCCUAUGGGGUGCAAUGUGCCCUCUGUGCACGGAAUCAUCACUGUGGAUUUCUGCUUCAGUCCUGUGGGCAUGAGCUGUACUGUGUGUGCACUGAGGAGAGCCAGAAAGGAGCACGGAGUCAUCACCUGAGGGGAAACAAAAUUCAGAAACGAGGAGGGGAAAUUUCGGUGCUUAUUUUUAGACUCUGUGGAGAGAAGAGAAGCAAGACCCAGGAGAGGAGCAGCAUUCUGCGUGCAGGUCACAGGUGCUAAAAAGGAGAAAGGUACGCUCUUUUGUUUUCUUUACUUUGUUCAAAGUGCAAACGUUCCUAAGCUUGGGUUACAGAGAGACA
RNAcentral lists this long non-coding RNA (528 nucleotides) under Gallus gallus (chicken). Its description in RNAcentral is "long non-coding RNA NONGGAT004860". The record is from RNAcentral. Lineage: Eukaryota; Metazoa; Chordata; Aves; Galliformes; Phasianidae.